UACGUAGGGGGCUAGCGUUGUCCGGAAUCAUUGGGCGUAAAGAGCGUGUAGGCGGCUUUACAGGUCCGUUGUGAAAACUCGAGGCUCAACUUCGAGCUGUCGGUGGAAACUUUCUGGCUAGAGUCCGGAAGAGGAGAAUGGAAUUCCUGGUGUAGCGGUGAAAUGCGCAGAUAUCAGGAGGAACACCAAUGGCGAAGGCAGCUCGCUGGGACGGUACUGACGCUGAGACGCGAAAGCGUGGGGAGCAAACAGG
This 253-nucleotide ribosomal RNA is filed under the name uncultured bacterium. RNAcentral describes it as "partial 16S ribosomal RNA". It matches the Rfam family "Bacterial small subunit ribosomal RNA", at positions 524 to 776 of the family's 1533-position model. The record is from RNAcentral.